CCUACGGGAGGCAGCAGUGGGGAAUAUUGCGCAAUGGGCGAAAGCCUGACGCAGCGACGCCGCGUGAGGGAUGAAGGUCUUCGGAUCGUAAACCUCUGUCAGCAGGGAAGAACGGUCACUGUGCUAAUCAGCAGUGAAUUGACGGUACCUGCAAAGGAAGCACCGGCUAACUCCGUGCCAGCAGCCGCGGUAAUACGGAGGGUGCGAGCGUUAAUCGGAAUUACUGGGCGUAAAGCGCUCGUAGGCGGUAUGUCAAGUCAAGGGUGAAAGCCCCGCGCUCAACGUGGGAACUGCCUUUGAUACUGGCAAACUGGAGUGUGUGAGAGGAUAGUGGAAUUCCAGGUGUAGGGGUGAAAUCCGUAGAUAUCAGGAGGAACAUCGGUGGCGAAGGCGACUAUCUGGCACAUAACUGACGCUGAGGAGCGAAAGCGUGGGUAGCAAACAGGAUUAGAUACCCCGGUAGUC
This 465-nucleotide ribosomal RNA is filed under the name uncultured bacterium. Its description in RNAcentral is "partial 16S ribosomal RNA". It matches the Rfam family "Bacterial small subunit ribosomal RNA", at positions 338 to 795 of the family's 1533-position model. The record is from RNAcentral.